Lolium perenne is the source of this 2958-nucleotide non-coding RNA. Lineage: Eukaryota; Viridiplantae; Streptophyta; Magnoliopsida; Poales; Poaceae. The record is from RefSeq and is a predicted model, not a curated record.
CUGUUAUAUUGUUCAAGAAGGGUAUUGCUGUUGAUCGGUUAGUUGGAUUUGAAGACCUUGGAGGUAAAGAUGAUUUUUCUACCAGGGCAUUGGAAAAUAUUCUGAAGAGGAAAGAUUUUAACAGAGAAAAUGUAGGUGCAACAUUUUUUCUCUUAUUGAAUCAGCUAACACAUGGCUGGAGAUCCUAAUCUAAGUGGUCAUUGGUCUCACUUUGUUGCUAGAGGAAUUGGAUUUAGAAGUAGAAGCUUCUGGUUUUCUUCUCUGUCACUCACGUAAUGAUGUGAUGAGGUGCAAAUGUUUAGCAGUGGUCAGUUAAUGUUAUUUCAAUGCCCACAAUCAAUCUUUCCAAAUCAGGGGAAAAAAUGAACUGGAGUCAGACUUCAGAAGGUUCUGGGAAGAAUUCCGCUCUUCCAGCUCUGAAAAGGUCAUCAGUUUAUACAGAGAAGACCCGGAGCAUAGAGAAAGAGAGACAGACAGUUGGAGAGUACCAUGGCUGUUCAAUUCUUCUCGUAGUUUAGGAGGGCGCCACUGAUGCCAUUGACAACAUCAUGUGCAAACUGAAUAUGGAGAGCAACGCAGCCUCCCGCCUUGACAGUGUUUGCCGACUACAACUUAGAUGAAUCAUCCUCCACUAAUGGGCUGGGGGCGUCAAAUCCAAGUGUUCUAUCAUUACUUGUUUAAUUCUGUCUAUGGGUCAUUGCUCUGAGAGAUCACAGGAACAUUGAGCUUAAACUUGUGCUUUCGGGACAAAGGAUUGCUGAAUUCGAUGCUAAACUUGUGCAUGAUGAUGGGAUGACGUAAAGGCAUUUUAUGAGGUGGACUGAACUACUUUGAGAUAUAUUGAUAACACUUCACACACAAAAUGAAAGGAAUGGCAGGCAGAUUUAAAUAAAACAAUGUUUGAUGCUGAAUUGACUAAUGAACAGCUAUUGAAAAAACGUGAUGACAGAAUUUGUGAAGCUGAUUGGAAGGACCUUAUUAAAUAUUGGAGAUCUCCUCAAUUUGAAGUAAGUCAGGCUGCCUACUAAUGUUAUGUUAUAUUCCAGCCUAGUAAUUACCAUUGGCUCACACUGUUUAUGUACAUGAUGAUCUCAGACCAUUUUAGUACUUGUUUAAUCUAUGGCGUAUAAGGCUCCUGGUUGCAUUUAGUUUCAGUGUCAUUGCUUUAGCUAUGUACAAUAAAAAAGUGUGUUUCUAGUUUUCUGUUUGAUGCUCAGCUGAUCCUGUUUUCAACCGUGUCCAUCAUAACAACCACCAUUUGUUUUGUUUACAAAGCCAGUAUUAGACCAUAAGGCACCAUAUAGUAGAAUCAUGUCAGAAUUUACUGUUGUAAAUUGUCCCUCCUCCAAGGAUUACUCAUCGAUGUAUAUAAGCAUUUUUAGUUUUAGUAUGUGAUGCUUGACUGCUUGUAUAUGUACAUAAGCCUAUUUCCUGAAAUAAUUAUUUUAUGGUGCAAAUAUAUGUCUGGUAAAAGGUGCUUAGAGUUAAACUGGUGGAUUGAGUAAGCUGCUACUUUUGAUUCUUGGUAAACUGGUGGUGCUAUUUAUGCUAUACAAUCAAUCUGGACAAUUUUUUGUAGUUGGUACUGCAGGUUGUCUCUAUGUUUCAUUCGUCUUUGCAUAUCUUUUGCGGAGUAGCAGUAUAUGCAGAACCUAAUAUGAUCCUAGCUAAUUUGGAACCUAUUAUUCUUCUUCUUUUAUCUUAUUUUGCUUCAUUUUAAGAAUAUAUUUACUGUCAACAGUGAAACACACAUCAACCAAACAGCUUCUGUUAUUUUAAGAAUAUUUUAAGAAUAUAUUUACUGUCAACAGUGAAACACACAUCAAACAAACAGCUUCUGUUAUUUUAAGAAUAUAUUCUAGGCCGAGUGGGGUGUUUAAUAUCUAUGAAGAAAGCAUAUGCUUUUGAAACAAACAAACAAACAAACAAACACAUUCCCCGGUUAGCUCCGGAAGUCAUGUUCAUCUCUAUCAGUUGCAUUAGCAACAAAUUUAUUGAAGUUCUGGCAUUCGUGACAAAAGUCCUCUCAGUUUCAAAUAGUUCACCCAACAUGGUGGUGCGGAAUUCUAAAAACGAGAACAACCUGGACUAUUGCCUGCACAAAUGACAUGCGAUUCGUAUUAGUACAUAUUCAAGAUAGGACUAUAUAUUUGACAAAUAGUACAAGUGCGAGGUAUCUCACCUAAGAUGGAAUACUUACAUUUUCGUCGACGAGGAUAGCAUGGUAGAUUAGAUCACCUCCUCUAUUGUUUUUUAUUCGACCAGAAAUAAGUUUCGCAGUUGCCUCCCAGGAUCUGUUGUAGAUAUGCAAUUGUUCCACAUUGCAGAAUGUAACAUGACUGCAUUAUAAACGGAGAAACAUGAGUAAAACGUGAUGCUAAGAACAUGAGUAAAACGUGAUGCUGGAACUUACCUUGGUGCCAUUACCCUCUUGGAGGCGUGGCGACUGAGCAGGUAUUGACUGAGCAUGGCGACUGAAGAUGGAUGAACUCGACUGAGAUGAAGAUGACCUUAGCCUGGAGCUAUGGCACACGAUUACUGGGAAGGAUUCAUGCGUGAUUACUGGGAAGGAUUACAUACCAUGCGUCAUGGGUGUUUCCUGAUUCAUACCAUGCGUCAUGGGUGUUUCCUGAUUCAUGGGUCGUUCUUGGUUUAUUUCCAUGCGAGAUUUCCUAAUUCAUCGGUCGUUCUUGAUUUAUUUCCUGUUUAGAUUCCAUUCAUGCGUGAUUUAUAUUUCCUGGCGAGAUUUCCUGGCGAGAUUUUCCUGCCGAGAUUACAUACCUGGCGAGAUUGCAUACCUGGCGUGAUUUAUAUUUCCUGGCGAGAUUUUCCUGCCGAGAUUACAUACCUGGCGAGAUUGCAUACCUAGCGUGAUUUAUAUUUCCUGGCGAGAUUACAUUCGGCCCAUGUUAACGCUUGGCCCAGGCGGGUGGGCAACGAAGGACGACGACGACCAAG